This 626-nucleotide long non-coding RNA is filed under the name Nicotiana benthamiana. Its description in RNAcentral is "long non-coding RNA (NBEN_LNC033690)". Lineage: Eukaryota; Viridiplantae; Streptophyta; Magnoliopsida; Solanales; Solanaceae. The record is from RNAcentral.
AAAAUUAUAAUAUAAAUUUUAUAACCCAAGAAUAAUUCUAGCGGCUAGACAUCGAAAUUGACAAAUUAAUUUGGCAGAAUGGAUAGCUGUCCACCAAUUUUGUCAAAACCGAGGACUUAGCGAUGUCCUUACUCUUUCCCUUGGUUUCUCCUCAAUUGGAGCAAGGAAAAUUUACAAGAAAAUUAUGUUUUUCUUCAACAAAUUUUCUACUUUUCCCAAAAAUUUCAAUUAUCCCCACAAAAUAAGAACGAUGAACAAGAUGAUCAAAGCAAAAUUGGAUAGUAGCUGGAUGAAGGAGAUUAUCAUCUCGUGGCAAAGUAGUGUGCAGAGAUCGAGUUGCUACUGCUUUACCAUUCGCCGAAGAAGAAGAUAAGUGUAAAACAACAAGCUUACGGCUUUAGCGUGGGUAUUCAGGUGGAGGAGAUCAUAAAGAAGUCUUGUUGGGUCUGUAGAUAUUUCACAAACAAACUCCAGCUGUCUACUGAUAAUUAUAUACAAUUUUCAUACUGUUAUAAAUAGAUCUCUAAUUAAAGUGAAUGUCUAUCUUAUAGAAGAGUUCUAUUUUGAGGCUAAGUAUUUUCUCUUCCUAUAAAUAGAGGGGUCUUACCCCAUUGUAAAUCAUCCCN